UCUUCAAUAGCUCAGUUGGUAGAGCAGACGGCUGUUAACCGUCAGGUCGUUGGUUCAAGUCCAUCUUGGGGAG
Molecule: transfer RNA, 73 nt
Filed under: Medakamo hakoo
Lineage: Eukaryota; Viridiplantae; Chlorophyta; Trebouxiophyceae; Coccomyxaceae
Description: trnN-GUU
Rfam family: tRNA
About the family: Transfer RNA (tRNA) molecules are approximately 80 nucleotides in length. Their secondary structure includes four short double-helical elements and three loops (D, anti-codon, and T loops). Further hydrogen bonds mediate the characteristic L-shaped molecular structure. tRNAs have two regions of fundamental functional importance: the anti-codon, which is responsible for specific mRNA codon recognition, and the 3' end, to which the tRNAs corresponding amino acid is attached (by aminoacyl-tRNA synthetases). tRNAs cope with the degeneracy of the genetic code in two manners: having more than one tRNA (with a specific anti-codon) for a particular amino acid; and 'wobble' base-pairing, i.e. permitting non-standard base-pairing at the 3rd anti-codon position.
Source: RNAcentral